GGUAACCGUCUCACAUCCAAGGGCUCGCGGUACGGAACGCUACGCCACUACUCGCUCGAGUGACAGACAAACUCAAGUCUGCAUAUCACCUGGAGUCAGCUGAUGGAUCUUUGGCUCAAGUUUUUGUGUGAAUGGUGCUAGAAGUGUUCCAGUGACAGAGUGAAUGUGGCAAUGCAAGACCUGCCCUUCAGUUUUUCCAAGUAGGUCUGAUAUUCUGAAGCACUAUCGAGUCAGACAUAGACAUUAC
Cheilinus undulatus (humphead wrasse) is the source of this 247-nucleotide long non-coding RNA. RefSeq lists it as uncharacterized. The record is from RefSeq and is a predicted model, not a curated record. Lineage: Eukaryota; Metazoa; Chordata; Actinopteri; Labriformes; Labridae. The transcript is spliced from 3 exons.